Molecule: ribosomal RNA, 303 nt
Filed under: uncultured bacterium
Lineage: Bacteria
Description: bacterial SSU rRNA
Rfam family: Bacterial small subunit ribosomal RNA
Source: RNAcentral
UGGGGAAUAUUGCACAAUGGGGGAAACCCUGAUGCAGCAACGCCGCGUGAGUGAAGAAGUAUUUCGGUAUGUAAAGCUCUAUCAGCAGGGAAGAAGAUGACGGUACCUGAUUAAGAAGCCCCGGCUAACUACGUGCCAGCAGCCGCGGUAAUACGUAGGGGGCAAGCGUUAUCCGGAUUUACUGGGUGUAAAGGGAGCGUAGACGGCAUAGCAAGUCUGAAGUGAAAGCCCAAGGCUCAACCAUGGGACUGCUUUGGAAACUGUUAAGCUAGAGUGCUGGAGAGGUAAGCGGAAUUCCUAGUG